This 467-nucleotide ribosomal RNA is filed under the name uncultured bacterium. RNAcentral's name for it is "partial 16S ribosomal RNA". It matches the Rfam family "Bacterial small subunit ribosomal RNA", at positions 28 to 506 of the family's 1533-position model. The record is from RNAcentral.
GACGAACGCUGGCGGCGUGCUUAACACAUGCAAGUCGAACGGAAAGGCCCUGCUUUUGUGGGGUGCUCGAGUGGCGAACGGGUGAGUAACACGUGAGUAACCUGCCCUUGACUUUGGGAUAACUUCAGGGAACUGGGGCUAAUACCGGAUAGGAGCUCCUGCUGCAUGGUGGGGGUUGGAAAGUUUCGGCGGUUGGGGAUGGACUCGCGGCUUAUCAGCUUGUUGGUGGGGUAGUGGCUUACCAAGGCUUUGACGGGUAGCCGGCCUGAGAGGGUGACCGGCCACAUUGGGACUGAGAUACGGCCCAGACUCCUACGGGAGGCAGCAGUGGGGAAUAUUGCACAAUGGGCGGAAGCCUGAUGCAGCAACGCCGCGUGCGGGAUGACGGCCUUCGGGUUGUAAACCGCUUUCGCCUGUGACGAAGCGUGAGUGACGGUAAUGGGUAAAGAAACACCGGCUAACUACGU